AUUGAACGCUGGCGGCAGGCUUAACACAUGCAAGUCGAACGAUGAAACUCUAGCUUGCUAGAGAAGAUUAGUGGCGGACGGGUGAGUAACAUUUAGGAAUCUGCCUAGUAGUGGGGGACAGCUCGGGGAAACUCGAAUUAAUACCGCAUACGACCUACGGGUGAAAGGGGGCGCAAGCUCUUGCUAUUAGAUGAGCCUAAAUCAGAUUAGCUAGUUGGUGGGGUAAAGGCCCACCAAGGCGACGAUCUGUAACUGGUCUGAGAGGAUGAUCAGUCACACCGGAACUGAGACACGGUCCGGACUCCUACGGGAGGCAGCAGUGGGGAAUAUUGGACAAUGGGGGCAACCCUGAUCCAGCCAUGCCGCGUGUGUGAAGAAGGCCUUUUGGUUGUAAAGCACUUUAAGCAGGGAGGAGAGGCUAAUGGUUAAUACCCAUUAGAUUAGACGUUACCUGCAGAAUAAGCACCGGCUAACUCUGUGCCAGCAGCCGCGGUAAUACAGAGGGUGCGAGCGUUAAUCGGAAUUACUGGGCGUAAAGCGAGUGUAGGUGGCUCAUUAAGUCACAUGUGAAAUCCCCGGGCUUAACCUGGGAACUACAUGUGAUACUGGUGGUGCUAGAAUAUGUGAGAGGGAAGUAGAAUUCCAGGUGUAGCGGUGAAAUGCGUAGAGAUCUGGAGGAAUACCGAUGGCGAAGGCAGCUUCCUGGCAUAAUAUUGACACCGAGAUUCGAAAGCGUGGGUAGCAAACAGGAUUAGAUACCCUGGUAGUCCACGCCGUAAACGAUGUCUACUAGCCGUUGGGGUCCUUGAGACCUUAGUGGCGCAGUUAACGCGAUAAGUAGACCGCCUGGGGAGUACGGCCGCAAGGUUAAAACUCAAAUGAAUUGACGGGGGCCCGCACAAGCGGUGGAGCAUGUGGUUUAAUUCGAUGCAACGCGAAGAACCUUACCUGGUCUUGACAUAGUGAGAAUCCUGCAGAGAUGCGGGAGUGCCUUCGGGAAUUCACAUACAGGUGCUGCAUGGCUGUCGUCAGCUCGUGUCGUGAGAUGUUGGGUUAAGUCCCGCAACGAGCGCAACCCUUUUCCUUACUUGCCAGCGGGUUAAGCCGGGAACUUUAAGGAUACUGCCAGUGACAAACUGGAGGAAGGCGGGGACGACGUCAAGUCAUCAUGGCCCUUACGACCAGGGCUACACACGUGCUACAAUGGUAGGUACAGAGGGUUGCUACACAGCGAUGUGAUGCUAAUCUCAAAAAGCCUAUCGUAGUCCGGAUUGGAGUCUGCAACUCGACUCCAUGAAGUCGGAGUCGCUAGUAAUCGCAGAUCAGAAUGCUGCGGUGAAUACGUUCCCGGGCCU
This 1355-nucleotide ribosomal RNA is filed under the name uncultured bacterium. Its description in RNAcentral is "bacterial SSU rRNA". It matches the Rfam family "Bacterial small subunit ribosomal RNA", at positions 28 to 1381 of the family's 1533-position model. The record is from RNAcentral.